This is a small nuclear RNA of Budorcas taxicolor (takin), 105 nucleotides long. NCBI's taxonomy places the organism in Eukaryota, Metazoa, Chordata, Mammalia, Artiodactyla, Bovidae. The record is from RefSeq and is a predicted model, not a curated record.
GUGCCCACUUUGGCAGCACAUACACUGAAGCUGGGUCGACAGAGAGGAUUAGCAUGGCCCCCGCAGAAGGACGGCAUUCAAAUUCGUGAAGUGUUGCAUAUUUUU